Long non-coding RNA from Hydractinia symbiolongicarpus, 618 nucleotides. RefSeq lists it as uncharacterized. The record is from RefSeq and is a predicted model, not a curated record. NCBI's taxonomy places the organism in Eukaryota, Metazoa, Cnidaria, Hydrozoa, Anthoathecata, Hydractiniidae. The transcript is spliced from 2 exons.
UUCUCUUUCUCUUUCUGAUAUGUGGCUGCGCGAAAGAAGUAGCUCUUGGACUAGCUGAUCAAAUAUCCACCUAUAGUGGGAAUUUUUGAAAAGCCGUUUGUCUUGCUUUACCAGAUUUUACAGAAGGGACAUAAGAAGGUAACUGAGCAUAGAAACAAGCAUAUGAAGAGUAAAAAUUUAGUUAGCUGGAUAGCAAGAUGGAAAAUAUAGCACAACUCUUUCCAAAACUUCGACUUGCUCUAGAGAAUUUAAAGAAGUUAAAGCUCAAACAAAUCGUUUGAACAUUUAAUUACUGGAAACGAUACUCUUGCAGUUUUGUCUGCUGGAUAUGGGAAAUCCAUAUUGUACCAAUUACUUCCUUUUGUAAUGUCUUUAUGAAAGAAAAGAAACAUGGUUAUUGUUGCCAGCCCUCUCAACGCUAUCAUUAACAAUCAACAAAAGGUGUACACCUACUCAUGAAAGGAAGAAACUUACCAAAAUCAAAAAUCUAUCAGGAUAACGUUGUUUCGUGUGUACUAGACGAGGCACAUUUUGUGGAAUUGUGGUAAGAAAAUUAUAUAUAUAUAUAGCUAGCUUCAAAAUGUACAACAUAAAGCUAUUUAACAAUCUUUAACAAUA